Molecule: unclassified non-coding RNA, 9092 nt
Filed under: Leishmania donovani
Lineage: Eukaryota; Euglenozoa; Kinetoplastea; Trypanosomatida; Trypanosomatidae
Description: gene:LdHU3.21.0190(CDS-product:serine/threonine_p rotein_kinase_putative)
Source: RNAcentral
CGCAUUAUCACUCAGUUUCGGGUGGAAGGGGAGUACGCCGAUUUGUAGAGGCGCUUCUUUUCUCCUCUACCCCACUCCCAUCACCCCCUGUCCUCCAUCACUGCAGCACAGCUCUUUGUGUGCGCGAGUUGGCUUGAGUGUUCGGAGGCGGUGGUGUUUGAGAGGUUGUUUCCGAAGUAGACACAUCUCUUGUCGCCGUCGAAGUCGUUUGUGGAAGACACGAUCGUCGUGAUAUCUCCCCACCCCCCUGGAUUGCUCACCGCCUCACAGACUGGUGGGGCCACGCACACAUACUCACCAGUACUCGUACAUGCGUACAUCAUAGUAGGGACACUGACUGGAUAGUCUUCAUUCGACUGUGCUAAUUUUCCUUUUUGCCUUUUGUUGUGCUAUUCUCUUCUCCUUUCCUCACGCACCGACAGGCCUCCGCAUCCUUUUCCACCCUCGCCCGCGAGCGUGCUUGUUUGUUUUGCCACUCUCUGAUUGCAACUGCCGCUCCCUUCCUCUCAUCACUCCAUUGCCCCUCUUCCCUUGUCCUCCGCCGCGCUCACCUCGUAUUUUCGCUUACCUCGUGCGUAUCUACUCUUCUGUGUCUGUCUGUGUUUAUGUGUUCGCUAGCGUCUCCUUCCCUCAUCAACGUUUUCCUUUCCUAUCUAAGCCCCUCUCCCACACUCUCUCCAGUGCUCAUUCACAUUUUGUUGAAGUGUGUCCGUGAUUGCCUCAGAUUGUGUGAACGCCCCCCCUCCCACUCACCUCCCUCCACCCCUCUUGUACAUAACGAAACACAUAAGCACGUCAUCACACACACACACACAGACUGCAGGGGGGUAUACAUCCCCUUCACCCGCUCCACAGCGCCAUCUGCCCUUCGCCUUUUCCCUCCUUCGGGUUCCCUUUUUCGUUUGAGCUUUUGUUUCGGUGUUGCGCGUAGGUGUCUGUGCCCCCGGCCGUCUACGCUAGUCACCUCCCUCCCCCUGUCUGUGCGUGCGCGCGUUUUUCAACCCGCUUGUGCCACUCCAAACUCUCCCUUUGCUCGAUCCCCCCAUCGGCUCCUCCCGCUUCGCUCUCUCGCUUUCCCGUCCCGCCUCCCGUGUUCGCUUGCGCUUGCGUGUGCUAUCGUUUUGUGUCUGGCGCCUUUGGUGGGCUUCACACUCCAUUUUCCACUCCACCGGCUCUCCGUUUCCUCCGCUCUGCAGUGUCGCGAUCGCAAUAAACACGACAGAAUCUGCUGAAAGCUUUCCGUCGUCUUAGACUCCACCUCCCUCGCUCCCGAUCUCCUGCUGCAGUUUUCCCAGCACCUCUUUAGGUGUGUAGGGGGGUGUUUCACCUCGCUAGUCCCUUCCCCUAUUGUAGACCCGUUGCACCCUACCUCCUGGUGCCUCUCACUUCUUCUGCCCGUGCGUGUUUCUCUGCGUAUCCAGCGUGUGCUAGCGCGUGUCGCUGCCAACAUUGCCUUGCCCACAUCCCCGCCCCGAAUCUUUCCUCCCUCUCCCUCGCAGGCUCAUCGCGCAUCCAGCACCUCAAAGAGGCGCACGUGGGCACGCACACGCUUCUAUGCGAUUGUGCGCCCCCUUAGGCACACAUACAGCCGCCUUUCGCGCAGGUGGUACCCCUGCGCAGGAGCACGCAAGCACAGGAAUGCAAAGAGGAAUGGAGAAGACGAUGUCCCGCGACGUGGAUGUCGAGUCGGCCUUCACGGCGUUGUCGCCGAGCGCCGGCGAGAAAGAGAUGGUGCACGGCGCAAACGCUGCUUCGGGCCUUUACUGCUUCAAGGACACUCUUCGCAUUGAGCUCCCCGUCAUUUCCAGCGAGCACUGCGCGACAUUUUCGAGUCUAGCAGACGGCACUGGAGGCGGCUCUCCUGAAACGGCGAUAUACCGCCCCUCUGAGACCGCGUUUAGCCUCGAAAUAGAGGAGUGCACGCCGCUCUCGAUCGAAGAGGACAACGCACGUCAGUCGGCAGUGGCGCUGCUGCAGGCUGGCAUCUUGCCAAAGUCCGCCGGCGGCUCAAGCAGGCGAGGGACCAGUAGAAGACUUCCAUCGUUCAUUCCAACCUUCAGCAGCCUCGAGCCCAUCGAGGCGAUGCGCAAGAAGUCGCCUGUAAGCCUCUUCACGAGCAUCAGGCGCAAGAAUAUAUGCAGCUUGUCGAUGGAGGCUGACCUCACCAGAGGCGGGGAGCCAGACGGCGUGAUCCCAUGCUCGGGGGAGUUCAACCGCAGUAGCGGAAGCUUCGAGUUGCACCCCGACCUGACAACUGUGAUUGCGCGGGGUGCCUCUAGCGCUGCGCCCUCGCCGGAGCGGCAGCAGCGGUGCGGUUCUACCUUCACCUCCCCGGCCCCCUCACAAACGGCAUCAUCGAUGUCGCUCGCUGAUGAGUCGGAGGAAAGCGGCGACAGCUCUGACCAAGGCAUCGAGAUGGACCUCGUGCUCCGGGAUGCCUCCAAGAUUCGUGGUCUGCGACUGACAUGGCUUCUGUACAUGUUGAUUGUGAUGGUCAUCGUCCUCUUCGUGCUGGUGCUAGUGCAGAUCACCUACGAAACAAGCCGCAUGCUGACGCGAUCUGCCACGGAAGCGGUACAGGCCCAGGCGGCAUCCUUGCUCAACAGCGUGGACAUGCAGCAGUACGCUCUGGAGAAGCUUUUCGAGGUGAUGCGCGAAGCGAAAAUCACGGGUUUCUCCCCUGACUCUAUCACCCACAUCAUCGUGCGGGACAUCAUCUGCUCCAGCCUCUACCGUGCCCCCAUCGCGUUCGCCAUGUACGGCAAGGCCGGCGAGCUGCAGUGGAAGACAUCUUGCAAGUGGAACGACACCGUUGACAUGCUGGCCGAGCUCCCCAAAACGGUAUUGCCGGGCAUCGCUUUUAUGCGUAUCGUCGACUACGGCAAGUUGGCGCUCGCCUACCGCACCUUCUACGCCAGCAGCGGCGGUGUUGAGACCUAUGUAGUCAUGACAGAGAAGGAAACACUGGGCCGCAUCCUCAUGAACAACGACAUGGCCGACUACAGCACCGCCACCCUGCAGUCCGUCAUGACAGCUUUCUUUCUUCCGCGAUGGAACUCGACGCAACUAACGAUGCUCUUUCACACCCUAACGAAAGAGGCGCGCUCCUACACGAACACACCCACGUCGCCCAGCGCGGCAGCGCUGACGGCCGCCUUUGAGUCAUUAUGCCACACGGACUCACCGUAUGUUUGGCACAUCGUGCUGAUGCCUGUGAACGCGUCGGGGAUUGUGAAACAGUCCAUCAGAGCUGCAGACUGGCCAGAGACCAAGACACGCACCAUCCCGACCCCCCGUUUCGAGUACAAGCGGACGUGGGGCCAGCUGUCGAAGGCGAAUCUCUGUGGCGUGAAGUGCAUGAGCGCUGAAGGCGACAAGUGCACCCUCGACAAUCCGACAAACGUUUGGUUCCUCGUCGACUACACAAUGGCCCAUCUCGAGUCUAUUCACACCACUGUGGCAAUCGUGGGAGCGCUGAGCGUCAUGGCGGUGGUGAUCUUUAGUGUUAUCAUGUUCCUCGUGUACCUCAGCAUCACCGUACCGGUGAACUACCUCCGUUACCAGCUCAUGCGAGCCGUCGGGUCAAACGAGAUGGCGACGCCGUGGCAGCGAAAGAUUGUGCGCUGGACGUAUCGCCUGUGGCUCGGCGACCUCACGUCGAUUGCGCGGUCGAUUUACAUUCUGAGUCUGUGCUUCCGCCUUAACAAGAAAUACGUGCCGGACCAUGUCUUGCGCAACCACGCGAAGCAGCUCUACAUGCGGCGCCGCAAAUUCAACUUUCUGGAAGAGGCGGACUUAAAGGAAGACACAAUGCUGGAACACGACACGGACUCCGACAACGAGGCAGAGUCGCCGCUGGUUGGUGUGAACACCGUCCUGCCACCCUCCGACAAGCGCUUUCUCUGGCACUUCUCUGUGACGCACGACAAGGAUGAAGCGGAUCACGCAGCGUCCGAAAACGGGGUGGGGGCGAGGAUCUCUGACGGUGCGACUUUCGCAGAGGUCUCGCCCGUUUACGCGCCGCGACCGCAGCUGCCCACCACCUCAUACGAGGUGGUGGUGCCCUGCGGAAGAGCGGCACCAGCGCCGCGUGGGGUUGGAUUGCCACGUGACGUCCCUCUCAACGUGAAGGCCUACGGCGAGCUGGAGGACACGGUGGCGAUGCAGGAGGCGUCCACGAUGGCCGCCGCCACCGCCAUGACCACUCAGAGCAGCAACGACAUCAUGAGCAUUCGCCGCGAGUACGAGACCACUGUUUUGUGCAUCCGCAUCCCGAGUGUCGAGCUGGCCUACCUGAUCAACUAUUCCGGAGCAGCUCACCAGCACCGCCGCCUCAUGCGAGUCCUGUUGCACCGCAUUCGGCGGCACAAGGGAGCGUUGUUUCACUGCUCUGGUGACUGCCUGGGAGCCGUAUGGAACGCAUUUGAAGGCUGCCCGAACCAUGCGGAGUGUGCGGCAGUGUGCGCGCAGGAGAUUGCCAACGCCUUUGCACCAUACCGGAGCGACGGCCUGUAUGUCGGCAUGGUGCUGCACCAGGGCACACUCGUGUGUGGCACGGUCGAGUACUCGAAGACGGCCUUCGUGACAGCGUUCGGCGACGGUCCGCGUGAGGCGCUAGCUGUGGCAGAGCUGGCUGCUGCCGUCAAAACCCUCAACGUUCUCGUCACUGAGCCGGUCAAGCAGGCGCUCUCGGGCUUGUACGAUUGCAACAUCGUCGACGUCAUCCAGCUCCCCAAUUCGGCCCACCCGCUGCUGCUCUUCGAGCUGAGCGGCAGCCGCACGCCAGAGGGAUCACUGAACGAUACGCACCUGCAGGCACCCACACAGGCGGAGUUUUCUAUAGACUACGCGCGCGCCUUUGCCCAGUUCCGCAACCACGAGUUCAGCAAGGCGCUGCAGAGCAUUCAGAAACUCCGCACGCACAUCAGCAGUCGCAACGUGCAUCUGCUGCGUCGGCUGGAGCGCUUGUGUCUCUUCUACUCCGCCCAGCCCGCCGCUCUCCCGCGUCCCUACCACCGCGCCUUCCCGGUGUGGGUCAACUACGAGGCCAUCGCGCAGGCAGGGCUGCGCAACGACCCGCAUUUGACGACAUCGCAGACUGAAAGCUUGACGGCCCACAACAUGAACAGAGGUCUAGUGUACCAGGGAGUGCCGGUGCUGCGCAACGACAUGGACUGCAUCCGCGACUUCAAGCAGGAGCUGCAGGCAAACAUGCGCCGACUAGUGUCGCCGCAACGGACGACGCGCCAAAGCGGCUCUCCCACCUUAGACAACGCUGCCACCCCCACACAAGACAGCCUACACGCCUCCCUGCCAAUGCGGUCCACGCCAUUGCCGAUGCCUAUGAGUGCCGGGAUGUUGUUGGAGGUCAGCGGAGACCUCUCCGAGUCACUGUCGGCAGCCAUGCCAGCGAAGCCCCGCUACGUCGACCCUCAAGAAAAUGCUGCAGAGAUGAGCCUCCCACCUCUACGGCCGGCACCGGUGGUAACGGUGGCGCCGCCUUGUUUCAUUGCAGGGCCACCGUUGGUGGCCGCGUCGGCAGCGACACCGAUUGCAUGCGAGGAAGCCAAGGGCCGCAAUGGACCGGAGUGGACGAGCCCUGAGGUGUCGUCUCCACACGGCAUGCCCUUUCCGUCGAGGCACCCGGCCGUGACGCACAGCGCCACGAAUCUCCCGCCUGUGGCGGUGGCGGGCACCCCCGACCUCGUCACCGCCUCUGCUGCCCUGCUGCAGAGCGCCGCCACGCACACCGACUCCAUCAACAGCUCCGCGCAAGCAGACGGCGCGAGCUGCUCUAUCAUUCAAUCCGCUGGCCUCUCCUUUCAGGAGACGGGCGGUAUGCGCGGCUUCUGCGUAAGCAACGAAACACUGCCGGCGACGAUCAAGGCCAAGAACGGGACGACGUACCUGCGAAGUACACGUAUCCUGGGCAAGGGCUCCUUUGGCUGCGUGUACCUUGGAAUGGAUGCCCACUCGGGGCGGCUAGUCGCCAUCAAAUUCCUGCCGCUGCCGAGUGACGAGUCGGGGAUGGAGGUGAUAGAGGCGGAGGUGCUCAUACUGCAGCGGGUCAACGACACGCACGUGGUGCAGCUGCUCUCCUACGCGUUUGAGGGAGACACCAUUGUGAUUUUCAUGGAGUGUAUGCUGGCAGGGUCGCUGCAGAACAUGAUCGCCGCCUUUCGCACCAUCCCCAGCUCCACCGCUCGUGUCUUCAUGCGCGACGUCCUGCGUGGACUGAGCAAGCUGCACUCAAUGGGCGUCAUCCAUCGCGACAUGAAGCCGCAGAAUGUGCUGCUCAGUUUUGCAGGCAACUGCAAGAUUUCCGACUUUGGCGCCUCCGCGUGGCUGCAGGAGCUGGCGCGCAAAGAGUCGAAGGGAGAGGUGUGUGGCACCCCCGUCUACCUCGCCCCAGAGGCAGCGCGCGGCAGCCCGGAGAAGGAGAGCGACAUUUGGAGCUGCGGCAUCAUGUUCUUGCACAUGAUCACUGGCCGGCUGCCGUACUCGCUCGAGCAGCUUGCCUUGGGUGCCGCUGCGCUUGUGUACCAGAUCGGUAGCGGCAUCGCGCAGCCGAAUAUACCCGACGAUCUCGACGUGCUGGAUGCGGAGUUUGUGCGCGCCUGCCUGGACAAGGACCCUAGCAAGCGCACCUCCGCUGCGGGCCUUCUGCAAUUGGCUCUCUUCACCGUAUAAAGGCAGGCGAUGGUCAAACGACAAGGCGCACGCCACCUCCGUGCUGCCCAUGAAUGCACUCUUGUAUGCGUGGAGCGUGGUUGCGUGAGCGCUGUUUUCUCUUCAUCCCCUUCAACACCCGCUCCAUCCACGGCAUUCCUCUUCGAAUAUAUCCCAUGUGACUGGGUGCAGCGGUGGCCGUGUAGUGUAUUAGAGGCUAGAUCGCGGGGCAGACCAUGCUACUGCCCUGCUUCGCGUAUGCCUUGUAUCUCUUCAUGUAGUUGAGCAUGUAAACAGGGCUCUGUCUGCGUGUCUACUACUCCUUUCACACACACACACGCACACCUUCUUUCUUCUUCUUAGCGUUUCAGUGUGUGUGCGCGUUUGUGAGGGUGAAGGACGGCGAAGGACGGAGGCCAUGGGGAGGGUGGCGAGGCCCCAUACCCUCCGUCCUUCGCCGCCAUCUUUGUUGCGGCUUCGGCCUCCGCAUCGCUGGCGUUGGCUUCGUCUCACCACAUGUGCAGAUGGAUGUGUUUGCUCCGCCUUUACUAUUCGUUUGGUGCCCCGCCCUUCCCAUUCCAAUGCGCAGAGUUGCCACGGCAGGCUAUGGAAUGCCGCGGCUGGAGGCGACCGAGAGGGAGAAGCAUGGCAUACAGGUAAGUGCACCGGGUUUCAGAGAGCGCCGUGAGCUGCGGCCGGCCAACUUCCUCCUUGAGGCCAUCCGGCAUUCACCUCGACCACCACCGCCCACUGUUGACCGCACGGCAGACGCCACCGCUUCCGCCCUGGAGCACGACCCUGAACGCCGUACGCAUGCGAUGAAGGGCAAGAAGAGCCCAUUAGGCGCAUGAUCCGAUUCAGCAACGGGUGGCUUGUCCUAGACGACCAGGGUGUAGCCGUGGUGCAGCAGAGGGCAGGCGAAAUGUGGCUGUGAAUGCGUGUAUACUUGUUGGCGUGUUCGUGGUGGAAUAUGGACACGUAAAACCAAUUUCUGCUGCAAUGGCAGUCGUGAUGACGAGGGGCACCCCUAUCCCUGCCAGAUGCAGAGCCACCUCUGCUGGUGUCAGCGCCAAGCGCCUACGACGUAGGAAAGUCGGAGCGAUGCGCUGCCACUGUCAGGGGUGAGACUCUGGAUGGCAUUGUCCUGGAUCGACCUGCAUCAGCAAACGCGCUUGUGCCAUCCAUGUGAUGGGCAGAGUGCCAGCGAGACUCGAGCGUCUCUCGCCCCCGACCCUCACACGGCUUACUUGUGUGGGGAAGCCUGAGCCACCCCGAGGGAUGCGCCAGGUGUGGCGAUCACCACAAUGGGAGCGGCGGUGAGGCGACUUGUGGAGCCGGAGGGUGAGUAGUGUGCGCGGCAGGGAGGCCGUGCUCUUCGAUGACUGAGUCGGCGCAGUUCGGUAGCGCGUUUGCACCGCUGCUGCGCGCCACGCGAUGGGUGGCCUGUGGCGGGCCGGGUAGCGGGGCGUUCGACCUUACGUUAGAUGGCGGAGAAAUGGCGCUGCUGGCGAAGAAAGCAUCGAGCAGUUGCAAGGGUGACGUCUUCGAUUUUCGCACCCAUCACGAGUAUCGCUAGUAGGCGUGCGCGUGCUGCUGCCUCUUCUCCUGUGGCUCACGUGCGUGCGCUUGUGUAUGUGCUCUGGCAUUUUCAUUUUUAUUCACUGUUUUUUUUUUGUUUUGUCUGAUAGGAGCCUGUAGCGCAUGCCGAGUGUGUACGCGAGUGAAGUGAGAGGGUAACCAGGACGUGCACCUGGACACGAGUAUGUGUCCGGGUGUGUGCCUCUUCGUGCCAACAACACGGUCUUGUGCAAUGCUGUGCUGUGCUGCAUGUCUAUAUAUGUUGCGAAGACGUGUGCUGCAGUCUCUGCUGCGGAAGCGGUUACGUGUAUGCCAUUCCUCUCCACCUCGCUUUUCUGUUCUAGUUCGAUAUGCACGCGCACACACGCGCGCUCACUCCGAUGGAUGGUAGAAGGAAGGGGCGCCAAGAAUGAUGUGGCAGGCGAGAUGUGGGGCGAGGGGGAUGGCCUACCCAAGUUCGCUAGCGAUACCUGCAUCUCCCUUUCUCUCCUUGCUGUGUUAAGCGGCUUGAGUCUCCUCGGGCAUGGAUAGAGAAGGGUCUGUGCAUGUGUCGCGUCUCCUCCUCCGCUCAUCGCCUUGCACCUCGACUACUAUACCUUCAGUAUGCCACCGUGUGCGUGUGCGUGUACGUCUCUUCGGCUGUCUGUGUCUCACCUUUCGCUGUGCGUUUUUAUUCCUUCUUCUUUUGUUUAUGUAGUCCCUCCACGCUCUGCGAAUGAGCAUCUGCGUGCUCGGCAUCCUCCAGUAAGCCGUGCACGCAUGUUCGUGUGUGUGUGUGUGCGUGUGUCGUUGUUUCUGUCCUACUCCCUUUUAUGUAUGUGUGUGUCUCCGGCCUAUCCGCCGCC